GGGCGCCUGUAAUCCCAGCUAGUCGGGAGGCUGAGGCAGGAGAAUUACUUGAACCUGGGAAGCGGAGGUUGCAGUGAGCUGAGAUCGUGCCAUUGCACUCCAGCCUGCGUGACAGAGAGAGCCUCUGUCUCAAAAAAAAAAAAAAAAAAAAAAAAAAGUGUAUGGGGACUAUCCGGUUGGAUUAUGUAGGAGACAGUUGGAUAAUCAGAGAUAAGUGACGGUUGUUGAAGAGAAUGCUCAGAAGGUGUUUGUAUGGUGAGAGGAGAAGAGGUACUGACUCUUGGAGACACGGCUACUCUAAUUGUGGUCAGGAGCAGCCAGAGAGGGAAGAGAAAUAACCAGGGAGAAUGUAAGUAACCAAAGUCAAGGGAUGAAAGAAUUCUGAGGAGGAUGAAGGGGUUAAGGGCAUCUGAUACACCACAGAUAGCAAGCUCUAUAAGGGCAAAAAAGAGCGCACUGAAUUUGGUCACUAAUGGAUAAAUGGUGAUUAAAACAGUUUCAGCUGCUUACAUGAGGUAACGCCCUGAUUGCAGUGCUUGAAAGAGGAGGUGGGUGAUGAAGACCUCCCGGCAGCCAGUUGAGAACACUGUAUUUAUGUUUCACUGUGAAGAACAAGAGAAAAGAUAGCCUAGAAGUUGGGAACACACAGGCCUAGGAAUGGCAGCUGCUUUCCACUUACGGAAGAGGUGAAGCAUGUUCAUAUGCUAUGUGGGAAAGGGUCACUGACUCUUGAAAAGAAUAUGAUAAAAGAGGAAGAAAGAAUGAAAGAAAGGAUAAAGAUGAAGGAAAGGGAAGGAAUAUUGACGGAACAAAGACCAAAAGAAUAGAAGGGAAGAUAGGAUCCCAGGACAGCACGGCAUGUGGAAGGGACAAAGGAAGAGAACAUUAAUCUUGAACACUAGAGAAGAAAGGGAGAGAGAUGGAUGAUCUCAGAGUAGUAGAAAACAGCCUUUUAAAUACCGUAAGAGCAUGGAAUCCUCAUAGAAGAAUGCAAACUCCUGGAGGGGUGAUCUGCUUGCCCAUUCGUUGUGAGAAAUUAACAUCCUUUUCCAGAAUGUCUGGACCUCAGGAGUGA
Molecule: long non-coding RNA, 1075 nt
Filed under: Pongo abelii (Sumatran orangutan)
Lineage: Eukaryota; Metazoa; Chordata; Mammalia; Primates; Hominidae
Description: lncRNA (ENSPPYG00000033251.1)
Source: RNAcentral